UCAAAUUUUAAGGUCAUGAUUUAAUACUUUAUCACAGAUAUCAAAUAAUUGAUCAUGUACAUCAAAUAUUGGUUCAUAUACCACUACUACCAACACUAUUGCCACCGCCACUUGCGACGCGAUGGUCGUCAGCACCACAACACCAACACCACUGCCAUCACCAUCACCAUCACCGACCGCCACCACCACUGUAAACACCUCCACCUGCACCAUCACAGCCAGCAGCUCCACCACGGCAUACAGCGUCGAUGUAUGACAGUUUUAAACCGUCAUGCCCCAUAAAAUUAGUCGCUACAUCCUGCUCCAACCACCAACCAGUUCCACCUCCAAACACCAUCCACAAAAAAAAAAAUAAAUAAAUAAAUAAAAAUAAAAAAAUAGCUAAGCUGCAGGAAGCGACGUUCACAACGCCGUCAUCUCCGAGCCGUAUCACCGCCACUACCACGUAAACCAUGGGCCACAGAAAAUCGUAGAAGAAAUGCCACAAAUCGAAGAAGAUUUUAGAUCACUGCCCCUGCACUUCCGCGCACAAAGGUUCCGAUCUCUUCAUUAAGCAGCGUGGUGCUGCUUAAGUGGUGGCGACGACGCAGUUGCUGCGAGGAGUGCUCCAAUGGCGGCGGCGGCGACGACAGCAUUUGACAGAGAGGAAGGCAUGAGAAGAAGGAGAGGAAGAAGAUGGGGAGGGAGAGUGAGAGUGAGAAGCAUGAAAUAAAAUUAGGGUUUGUAAUUGAAUUGGGUGAAAACAUUUGAUAUAUAAUUAUCAUGUCAAUACCUGAUCUUUUAAAAUGAAAUUUCAUCCCUGAUUUUUGAAUUAUGAUCUUUA
Molecule: long non-coding RNA, 823 nt
Filed under: Olea europaea subsp. europaea
Lineage: Eukaryota; Viridiplantae; Streptophyta; Magnoliopsida; Lamiales; Oleaceae
Source: RNAcentral